CACCCCCUUGUAAAUAUUGAAUAUAAAACUGGUUGGGCCAGGCCAGGAAAAACAUGUAGAUCAGCUUUCUUCGUGGAUUGCAAUUUGUAUAAAAAUUCUAUCCGAGUCGAGAUCAAAAACUUGGUCAUCAGCCGAAUGGAGAAGAUAGGAGACAAGAGAGGAUACAAUGGAAAGCUUCAUGAGUCGAUGAACAUAAUAGGGUCGACGUUGAAGAGCAUGUCACGGGGCAAGAAACAAGCUCUUGUCCGUUGGGGUGGG
RNAcentral lists this long non-coding RNA (258 nucleotides) under Elaeis guineensis (African oil palm). RNAcentral describes it as "long non-coding RNA (EGUI_LNC017787)". Lineage: Eukaryota; Viridiplantae; Streptophyta; Magnoliopsida; Arecales; Arecaceae. The record is from RNAcentral.